AUUAUUUUGGCAGAUUAUGCAAUAAAAUUAGAAUUUAUAAAAGUAAUAUUUAAUUACAAAUAAUA
Non-coding RNA from Aphidius gifuensis, 65 nucleotides. NCBI's taxonomy places the organism in Eukaryota, Metazoa, Arthropoda, Insecta, Hymenoptera, Braconidae. The record is from the annotation of a RefSeq genome assembly.